CCUACGGGAGACAGCAGUGAGGAAUAUUGGUCAAUGGACGAGAGUCUGAACCAGCCAAGUAGCGUGAAGGAUGACUGCCCUAUGGGUUGUAAACUUCUUUUAUAAAGGAAUACAACGAGGCACGUGUUCCUUUUUGCAUUUACUUUAUGAAUAAAGAUCGGCUAAAUCCGCGCCAGCAGCCGCGGUAAUACGGAGGGUUCGAGCGUUACCCGGAUUUAUUGGGUUUAAAGGGAGCGUAGAUGGGUUGUUAAGUCAGUUGUGAAAGUUUGCGGCUCAACCGUAAAAUUGCAAUUGAUACUGGCAGUCUUGAGUGCAGUUGAGGUAGGCGGAAUUCGUGGUGUAGCGGUGAAAUGCUUAGAUAUCACGAAGAACCCCGAUUGCGAAGGCAGCUUACUAAACUGUGACUGACAUUGAUGCUCGAAAGUGUGGGUAUCAAACAGGAUUAGAUACCCCAGUAGUC
This 460-nucleotide ribosomal RNA is filed under the name uncultured bacterium. RNAcentral's name for it is "partial 16S ribosomal RNA". It matches the Rfam family "Bacterial small subunit ribosomal RNA", at positions 338 to 795 of the family's 1533-position model. The record is from RNAcentral.